CGGUACUAACAAUAUAAAAAAAUAAUAUUCAAAAUAAAUAACUUUGUUACAAUAAACUAUAAAACUUGAGAAAAUGUAUCUUGAAAAGUAACAAACCCUCCAAAAUAUUAGUUAAUGUAUCUUAAAAACAAUAAAAACAUCAAAAGUUGUAUGUGAAUCAAUACAUAAUCACUAAUCUAUAUGAACCAAGUCAUCUUGUUGUUAUAGAGUGAAAUAACUCUUCACUUUUAGUAGAUCAUCGAUAUCGCUAACAUAUUCCACUUUGACCUUGUCAAGAACGUACUUCCAUAAUAGUGUUGCAAAUCUUGUGCGAGGUAGUCAGCUCAUGGAUGUUGACUUCAUUGCUAAAGAAUUCAGCAAAGGCAACUACAAAUAUUCAACAUUCACUAUAAACAUCCUGCUAGUGGUACAUUAUAAAAAUGAAUUAAAUUUGAACAAAAAAGUUAAUUACAUGAUACAUUAUAGUAACUACAAAAAAUCUUAUUCUUUAGUUAAUAUAUAAUGAUUAAAAAAUAAUAAAUGAUACUCAAUACCACUUGAUAAUAUUUAUAUCUGAUACUAAAUGAAACAUCAUCUAUUCAUUAUAUGUUAUUUAAAUAUCAUGGUUAAACUAUUUUUUAAUAUGAUACACUAUUCUGCAAAUUACAUCUCACUAAAAUAAUUUUUACUAUAUAGUUUGAUAGUUUAAUGACAAUAAUUCAAAAAACAAAAAUAAUAAAAAUUAGAAUUUUAUAUAUAAUUUCCUAAGAUUUAAAGCAGGGUACAAAACAAUAUGAUAAUGUAUUAUUGUUGUCAACAUAUCCAAUUUUUUAAAAAAACUCAGCAGGAAUUACAUGAAAUUAAAAAAGAAUGAAUCAGAUAAUAAAAGACAUACCUGGAUAAUGUAAAUCUGAAAAUUACAGAAGCAACUUUUCAAUAGAAGAAGACUAUAAUCAUAUAUUUGACUGUGAAUCAUUAAUGAUUUUGUUUUUAGUUUAUCAUCAUCAUAAUCAUAUAUUCAUCUUGUAUUAAAGUGUUUAGUUGAAAGAACAAUCCAUAUCCAUAUGAAGACGACCAUGGAGGAACUAUUGAGUUGUUUGAAUUGAAUUUACCGGAGAGAGAAUUUUCAGAGUUGUUUGAAUUGAAUUUAUCGGAGAGAAAAUUCUUUUGAAAAUCAAAUUUCUAUUAAAAUUGUAACUAAUAAAUUGUGGAGUGAAAUUAGGGAGAGAUUAAAGGAGCAAAAAAAGGAAGGGGAAUUGUGAAUUAAGGUUGGGAUACUUAUGUAUCUGGCUCACUUCAGAUUUUGACUAUCCCUUAC
Molecule: long non-coding RNA, 1297 nt
Filed under: Solanum lycopersicum (tomato)
Lineage: Eukaryota; Viridiplantae; Streptophyta; Magnoliopsida; Solanales; Solanaceae
Description: long non-coding RNA (SLYC_LNC001289)
Source: RNAcentral